GGCAGACGGGUGAGUAAAAUGUGGGUAUCUUCCCUUUGGUGAGGAAUAACACGAGGAAACUUGUGCUAAUACCUCAUAAGUCUUUACGGAGAAAACUUUAUGCGCCAAUGGAUGAGCCUGCACUUGAUUAGUUUGUUGGUGGGGUAAUGGCCUACCAAGACUUUGAUCAAUAGCUGAUCUGAGAGGAUGAUCAGCCACAUUGGGACUGAGACACGGCCCAAACUCCUACGGGAGGCAGCAGUAGGGAAUAUUGCACAAUGGAGGAAACUCUGAUGCAGCGAUGCCGCGUGAGUGAAGAAGGCCUUUGGGUUGUAAAGCUCUUUCGUCGGGGAAGAAAAUGACGGUACCCGAAUAAGAAGGUCCGGCUAACUUCGUGCCAGCAGCCGCGGUAAUACGAAGGGACCUAGCGUAGUUCGGAAUUACUGGGCUUAAAGAGUUCGUAGGUGGUUAAAAAAGUUGGUUGUGAAAUCCCGAAGCUUAACUUCGGAACUGCAAUCAAAACUUUUUAGCUAGAGUAUGAUAGAGGAAAGCAGAAUUUCUAGUGUAGAGGUGAAGUUCGUAGAUAUUAGAAAGAAUACCAAUUGCGAAGGCAGCUUUCUGGAUCAUUACUGACGCUGAGGAACGAAAGCAUGGGUAGCGAAGAGGAUUAGAUACCCUCGUAGUCCAUGCCGUAAACGAUGUGUGUUAGACGUUGGAAAUUUAUUUUCAGUGUCGCAGCGAAAGCAGUAAAUACAC
This 735-nucleotide ribosomal RNA is filed under the name uncultured marine bacterium. RNAcentral's name for it is "bacterial SSU rRNA". It matches the Rfam family "Bacterial small subunit ribosomal RNA", at positions 97 to 869 of the family's 1533-position model. The record is from RNAcentral.